This 267-nucleotide ribosomal RNA is filed under the name Escherichia coli. RNAcentral describes it as "partial 23S ribosomal RNA". It matches the Rfam family "Bacterial large subunit ribosomal RNA", at positions 2653 to 2925 of the family's 2925-position model. Lineage: Bacteria; Pseudomonadati; Pseudomonadota; Gammaproteobacteria; Enterobacterales; Enterobacteriaceae. RNAcentral also lists the same sequence under 1 other name. The record is from RNAcentral.
GUAGGAAUAUUGAGAGGAUCUGUCCCUAGUACGAGAGGACCGGGAUGGACGUAUCUCUGGUGGACCUGUUGUGGCGCCAGCCGCAUAGCAGGGUAGCUAUAUACGGAACGGAUAACCGCUGAAGGCAUCUAAGCGGGAAACCGACCUCAAAACGAGUAUUCCCUGAGAGCCGUGGUAGACGACCACGUUGAUAGGCCGGGUGUGGAAGAGCGGCAACGCUUGAAGCUUACCGGUACUAAUAACUCGAUUGGCUUGAUUGUUCUCAUU